AGCAGCCGCGGUAAUUCCAGCUCCAAUAGCGUAUAUUAAAGUUGUUGCAGUUAAAAGCUCGUAGUUGAAUUUCGGGAUCAAUUUGCUGGUCGUGCCUCUGGUACGUACUGGUAUUAUUGGUUUCUCCCUUCUGACGAACCAUGAUGUCAUUAAUUUGAUGUCGUGGAGAAUCAGGACUGUUACUUUGAAAAAUUGAGUGUUUAAAGCAGGCAUUAGCUUGAAUACAUUAGCAUGGAAUAAUGAAAUAGGACGUUUGAUCCUAUUUUGUUGGUUUCUAGGAUUGACGUAAUGAUUAAUAGGGAUAGUUGGGGGCAUUAGUAUUCAAUUGUCAGAGGUGAAAUUCUUGGAUUUAUUGAAGACUAACUACUGCGAAAGCAUUUGCCAAGGAUGUUUUCAUUAAUCAAGAACGA
This 410-nucleotide unclassified non-coding RNA is filed under the name uncultured Glomus. Its description in RNAcentral is "SSU rRNA". It matches the Rfam family "Eukaryotic small subunit ribosomal RNA", at positions 569 to 986 of the family's 1831-position model. Lineage: Eukaryota; Fungi; Glomeromycota; Glomeromycetes; Glomerales; Glomeraceae. The record is from RNAcentral.